CAAGCCCAGCUGAGGCAGCUAAUGAGGGCUCAGGUGGAGGCUAUAAAGAGCAACUCCUGGUAGGAGGAAGAGACUAGCCUGCUUGCUGCUCUGGAGGGAGUGCAGUAGAGACCUGACUGCCAGGGAUGCAAGAAGCUCCCUGGAAGAGGGCAGGGCUGGGGAAGCUUUUGGGCCUAGCAAACCCCAGCUACCAGGCCUGAGGCCCUAGGGGCUGCGAGAGGCAGCUGUGGUAGGCUGGGGAAGCUUGGGCCAGGGAAGUCCCAGGCUUGAAAGCCGUGUUGCAGGAGGCAAGCUGGUAGGCAGAGGUAGCAGGUCUGCACCCUUUGCCAGGGAGGAGUGGCCUGUAGGGACAGCAGUCUGCCUGGUGACAGGAGCUAGAGAGGGACUGGCAGUGGGCUACUGAGGCCUGGAGGGUGCAAGGGAACUGGGUGUUCCCUGGUAGAAGAAUUGGGGGCCCGAAGAAGUAGGGAAGACCCUGGAACAUAGUGAAAGAACAAUGGCACCCUCCCGGAAAGGGCGCUGACAAAGACCGGAGUGAGCACUGCUGGAGGGUAGUGCCCUGAAGACAACGCUGUACUGAUGGAGGACUUGGGGGAGACGCCAGUGGAAGGGGGUGCGUUGGAACAGCCAGCUAAUUCUCCCAAAGUCACUUUGCUGAAGGCGCCAUGCUGCUCAUGGGAAGCAGAAGAUUUUUUCCAAGGAAUUGGCAGCUACAUGGAUCAUCAACCAACAGAAACACCUCUUAGAACAUCAUGCACUGCCACCUUAUCCUGUUUCCUAUCUCCUCUCCUGAUCCACUGAGAACUCUGCAGCAGUAUUGCAAACAAGGUACACGCAUAUUGCAACCUGGGUCCCUGCCAGCUCUUGAUGGAUUUGCGCACCUGGGUGCACCCGCUUACAUUCAUUCACGACCACCGACACCACUAACAAGGACAACUGUGGUGUGUGUAUAGAAGUACUCAGACUCUUUAAAAGGGGAUGAAGUAUCUUCUCCCUAUGCCAGAAGUGAAAGUAAGACAAGCUGGUAGUAUCUCCUGAGCUUUUGAUGCCUGGUGAUUAGUGUCACAAUUGCAUGGUGAUGGAAGGUAUCGAGGCAUAAACUAUUCUGGUGCUUAGUGUGGAGCAUCCCCCAGAUGACGGUCUCCAGUGUAGCAGAUCUUGGUGCCAGAGAUCAAUAUCUGUGCUGCUCCCGUGGCACCAGGGAGUGAUACCAGUAUUGGGUAGAGUUCCCUGGGUUUGUUCUGGGAAGUGAUGGUGCAAUGGGUCCGUGUGUCAAAGAUGCUCUUGGCCCUGCUUCUCUAAUGGAGGCUGGAACAUUCCACAGUUGGAAACCAGGUACUGCAUAUGAGAGGCCUUGAGUCUGAUCUAAUCUGGCAGAUGCUAGGUUCCAAAUAAAAACUGCCUCUCUAAGGUAGCCUAACGAUCUUGCUUUUCUGUGUUACUUUUGUCAAGCUGCAGAUGUCGGUCUGCUUUUGGAAUACAGCUUUAAGAUCAUUCAUUUUAUACCAUUAAUUCUUCCUUGUCUCUCGGACAGUUUCAUCGGUCAUAAAAUAGAAAGCUUUUAAGGGCAACAACUUUAUCUUUCUACAGAACUAAAUAGGCUCCAUGGGACAUUGUCGACGUGAAAGAAAUGAUUAUUUAUCCAUUUAAUAAUUGUGGCUAGAGCAGAGGUCUCAAACUCCUAGCACACAGAGUACGGUGGAGUUUGUGCUCGGUGAACGUGCUCCACAGCUCCCCCUGCCAUGGGGAGGCCCCGACCAUUGUUGCUGCUCCGUGCCAAUUCCCACCUCUCCUCCCCCCAG
This is a non-coding RNA of Pelodiscus sinensis (Chinese soft-shelled turtle), 1802 nucleotides long. Lineage: Eukaryota; Metazoa; Chordata; Testudines; Trionychidae. The record is from RefSeq and is a predicted model, not a curated record.